This is a long non-coding RNA of Rana temporaria (common frog), 1421 nucleotides long. RefSeq lists it as uncharacterized. The record is from RefSeq and is a predicted model, not a curated record. NCBI's taxonomy places the organism in Eukaryota, Metazoa, Chordata, Amphibia, Anura, Ranidae. The transcript has 2 exons.
GUUUCCAUGUGUGGAAAUGUUUUUCUCAUGAUUACAUCCUUUGUCUUCUCCCAGGUCCAUUAUCAUGAAGAAGUGAAACGCGUGGUAGGAGAACCCAUGCAGCUUGCACAGAAAUUUUGGAAGUUUGAUCUCGACAAACCCUAGGAAGCGGUCCCAGUCCACCUGAAGGAAACCUGUAGAGUGAAGAAAAAGAAAACCACCGUCCAUUGCUGUUAUAACUUACGGAUGAGUAUGCAAUGAGCUUAAGGCCACUGGUGGCAUUCUGUGCGGCUGCCGUUAUAUUCUCCAGGAUCUGUGCCACCAAGACUCCUAAAAAAAAAAUGCUCAGUUAGCUAUGAAGAAUGACUUACCUCCAGGAUGGUGGACAUUAAAGAACAGAGAGUGGAGACUUCAUAAGGUUUUGUAUGCAGUUUUAUAUGCAUAAUGUUUUCGUUUACAUAUUAUGUACAUUUUUUGGGUCAGAUACAUAUGUACUUUUCAUAAGCGUUGCGUUUCCUAUUUUUUUGGGUAAGAGUUUGGCUUAAGAGGAGUUGUAAAGCCUCAAGGUUUUUCACCUUCAUGCAUUAAGUUGAAAAACCUUCUGUGCUGCAGCUGCCCCCCAGAGCCCACCUUUUUUUUACCCGAACCAGAUCGUUACAGCGCCGAGCACGAGCCCAGCGGCUCCAGCCACUGUCUCCAUCCUCAUUAGAUAGACUGAUAGCAGCAGGAGCCAUUGUCCCCCGCUGCCGUCAAUCAAAUCCAGUGACAAACGCAGCAGUGCCCCCAGGGACUGCGGGACUCCGUGGUGGCACCCGAUGAAGAGCAGGAGUGCCGACAGGACACCCCAGAAGUGGAGGAUCAGGGCGGCUCUGUGCAAAACCCUUACCCGUAUAACAUGUUUUAUUUUUUCAAUAUUUUUAUUGAAUUCAAGUUUAAGAGGUACAAACAAGGUAAUGGAGGUUCAUGGAUUACAUCAGAUGAACAAGUAUAUGCAAAAUGGCGAUUUUUUUUUUUAAAUAACAAACAACCUUUACAAAUCACUUUAAUACGUUUUGAAUCACUUCUAGGAGUUGGCUAGCAACUCAUUUAGGACCAAUUGUUUUUGUAUGUUUACAUACUAGAUUUGAUUGUGCAGAUUAAAUAUUCGUACACUCAAUAAGAUUGCCUGUCCAUUCCCAAAAGCUGUACAAGGGGGUUUUCCCUUUAAAACGAAUGGUCUGACCUCACGUAUUGGCACUUCCCCACAAGCUCACAGACCAGCUGCAGGCACCAAGAUUUGACAGCCAACACAGGUUUAGCGGGCCUAACCAGAUCACAGCAGCUGCCUUUGGCUGGUAUUACAUGGCUGCUCUGUGAAUGUCAUCUAUGAUGCAAACCACAUACUUCAAUGUAAAUGUGCUAUUGUUUUUAUUCCAAUAAAAUGUAUUUACCUUUCUAACUGA